This is a long non-coding RNA of Sander lucioperca (pikeperch), 125 nucleotides long. RefSeq lists it as uncharacterized. NCBI's taxonomy places the organism in Eukaryota, Metazoa, Chordata, Actinopteri, Perciformes, Percidae. The transcript has 3 exons. The record is from RefSeq and is a predicted model, not a curated record.
UUUUACAAAAUUGGCUCGUUACUUUAGUUUCAAAUAAUUUCAGUGGAGUUACCGUUAUUAUUUUUCACGUCAUCAAUACCAAAUUCAAUCUAAUUGGAUGGGAAUAUAUUGGCUGUAACGUUAGC